This is a non-coding RNA of Malus domestica (apple), 499 nucleotides long. The record is from RefSeq and is a predicted model, not a curated record. Lineage: Eukaryota; Viridiplantae; Streptophyta; Magnoliopsida; Rosales; Rosaceae.
GUGAGUUGUGGUGAGUUGUCAGGGCUUUCCCAGCUAAAAGGGGAUUUUGCGUUUUGUCUCCUCAGUUGAUAAAUCUGAGAUUUGGCAGUAGCUAGAACGCCACUGUUACUUUUUGGGAUAUUGAGUCUGUAUGACAUCAAUGAGGAGGACAUUGAUGGUGUCACUGAUCGUUCUCAGCUUUCAACAGUAACACAACCAUCUCCACUCCAAAUGCAGCUACCCAUAUUAGAGUUGCCAAAACCAUAUCCUCAUAUAAACAAGUGGAAGGUUUGCUGGACAUUAACCAAUUAGUUGGGCUAUUAGUUCCUUACUUUGUGGUGUCCCUGGUGUGAGUGAAAAAAAUGUUCAGGUACUUUAUAGUUAGGAAGAUUUAACGAUGCUUUUUCUAUGUACUUUACUUUAUUAUGUUUUGAUAAACGGAGGUUCAGCAACAGGUUACUGAAAUUAUCACUUAUAUAUAUAGCCUCCACAACAAAGUAAUUUCCUAAGAAACGUGUAG